This 101-nucleotide ribosomal RNA is filed under the name uncultured bacterium. Its description in RNAcentral is "partial 16S ribosomal RNA". It matches the Rfam family "Bacterial small subunit ribosomal RNA", at positions 1384 to 1482 of the family's 1533-position model. The record is from RNAcentral.
UACACACUGCCCGUCACGCCAUGGGAGUUGGUUCUGCCUUAAGGCGGUGUCCUGACCAGUAAUGGGGGGAGCCGACUACGGUAGGGUCGAUGACUGGGGUG